GCGAUCGUGGUUUAGUGGUAAAAUGCCUCUUUGCCAUCGAGGCGGCCGGGUUCGAUUUCCGGCAGACGCA
This 70-nucleotide transfer RNA is filed under the name Gregarina niphandrodes. It matches the Rfam family "tRNA". From Rfam's summary of the family: Transfer RNA (tRNA) molecules are approximately 80 nucleotides in length. Their secondary structure includes four short double-helical elements and three loops (D, anti-codon, and T loops). Further hydrogen bonds mediate the characteristic L-shaped molecular structure. tRNAs have two regions of fundamental functional importance: the anti-codon, which is responsible for specific mRNA codon recognition, and the 3' end, to which the tRNAs corresponding amino acid is attached (by aminoacyl-tRNA synthetases). tRNAs cope with the degeneracy of the genetic code in two manners: having more than one tRNA (with a specific anti-codon) for a particular amino acid; and 'wobble' base-pairing, i.e. permitting non-standard base-pairing at the 3rd anti-codon position. The record is from Rfam by way of RNAcentral. Lineage: Eukaryota; Apicomplexa; Conoidasida; Eugregarinorida; Gregarinidae.